This 72-nucleotide transfer RNA is filed under the name Lake Baikal phage Baikal-20-5m-C28. It matches the Rfam family "tRNA". From Rfam's summary of the family: Transfer RNA (tRNA) molecules are approximately 80 nucleotides in length. The record is from Rfam by way of RNAcentral. Lineage: Duplodnaviria; Heunggongvirae; Uroviricota; Caudoviricetes; Pantevenvirales; Kyanoviridae.
CGCGGGGUAGCGCAGAGGUAGAGCACUGGACUCAUAAUCCAGAGGUCGGAGGUUCGAUUCCUUCUCCCGCAA